RNAcentral lists this ribosomal RNA (460 nucleotides) under uncultured bacterium. RNAcentral describes it as "partial 16S ribosomal RNA". It matches the Rfam family "Bacterial small subunit ribosomal RNA", at positions 338 to 795 of the family's 1533-position model. The record is from RNAcentral.
CCUACGGGUGGCUGCAGUGAGGAAUAUUGGUCAAUGGACGCAAGUCUGAACCAGCCAUGCCGCGUGCAGGAAGACGGCUCUGUGAGUUGUAAACUUCUUUUGUACGAGGGUAAACGCAGAUACGCGUAUCGUUCUGAAAGUAUCGUACGAAUAAGGAUCGGCUAACUCCGUGCCAGCAGCCGCGGUAAUACGGAGGAUUCAAGCGUUAUCCGGAUUUAUUGGGUUUAAAGGGUGCGUAGGCGGUCGGUUAAGUUAGCGGUGAAAUCCCGAGGCUCAACUUCCGAAUUGCCGUUGAUACUGGUUGGCUAGAGAGUAGUGGAGGUAUGCGGAAUGUAUGGUGUAGCGGUGAAAUGCUUAGAGAUCAUACAGAACACCGAUUGCGAAGGCAGCUUACCAGGCUACAUCUGACGUUGAGGCACGAAAGCGUGGGGAGCAAACAGGAUUAGAUACCCGAGUAGUC